RNAcentral lists this small RNA (28 nucleotides) under Bombyx mori (domestic silkworm). Its description in RNAcentral is "ovarian small RNA-8382". Lineage: Eukaryota; Metazoa; Arthropoda; Insecta; Lepidoptera; Bombycidae. The record is from RNAcentral.
UGAUGUGAAUAUUUUGAGCCUAAGGAUU